GUCCCCUUCGUCUAGAGGCCUAGGACACCACCCUUUCACGGUGAUUACAGGGGUUCGAAUCCCCUAGGGGACGCCA
RNAcentral lists this transfer RNA (76 nucleotides) under Roseateles saccharophilus. RNAcentral's name for it is "tRNA-Glu". It matches the Rfam family "tRNA". From Rfam's summary of the family: Transfer RNA (tRNA) molecules are approximately 80 nucleotides in length. Lineage: Bacteria; Pseudomonadati; Pseudomonadota; Betaproteobacteria; Burkholderiales; Sphaerotilaceae. RNAcentral also lists the same sequence under 108 other names. The record is from RNAcentral.